CGCAGCAGGCUAACAUCUAAAUAGAUCGAUCUUAGACUUCGAUGGCAAAUAAACUUUCAGACUCCAUCGAUCCUUAUCCCAGUGAAUGCAACUAACCCCAACUACUUUCAUUUGGUGCCUACAUGCAUCGGACUACUUUGAAGCCUCCUUAACCGAAGCCAGUUCGAUCCUAUUUAUGCUCUCAUUUCAAAUUUAAAAGUACCUUCGGCACCAUAGCGGGCUCCGA
This 226-nucleotide long non-coding RNA is filed under the name Elaeis guineensis (African oil palm). RNAcentral's name for it is "long non-coding RNA (EGUI_LNC049742)". The record is from RNAcentral. Lineage: Eukaryota; Viridiplantae; Streptophyta; Magnoliopsida; Arecales; Arecaceae.